UACAGAGGUCUCAAGCGUUGUUCGGAUUCAUUGGGCGUAAAGGGCUCGUAGGCGGCCAACUAAGUCGGAUGUGAAAUCCCCAGGCUCAACCUGGGAACUGCAUCCGAUACUGGAUGGCUUGAAUUCGGGAGAGGGAUGCAGAAUUCCAGGUGUAGCGGUGAAAUGCGUAGAUAUCGAGAGGAACACCUGCGGCGAAGGCGGGUUGCUGGGCUGACACUGAUGCUGAGGCGCGAAAGCCAGGGGAGCGAACGGG
This 253-nucleotide ribosomal RNA is filed under the name uncultured bacterium. Its description in RNAcentral is "partial 16S ribosomal RNA". It matches the Rfam family "Bacterial small subunit ribosomal RNA", at positions 524 to 776 of the family's 1533-position model. The record is from RNAcentral.